Molecule: ribosomal RNA, 261 nt
Filed under: uncultured bacterium
Lineage: Bacteria
Description: partial 16S ribosomal RNA
Rfam family: Bacterial small subunit ribosomal RNA
Source: RNAcentral
ACUCCUACGGGAGGCAGCAGUGGGGAAUAUUGGACAAUGGGCGCAAGCCUGAUCCAGCCAUGCCGCGUGAGUGAUGAAGGCCCUAGGGUUGUAAAGCUCUUUCACCGGUGAAGAUAAUGACGGUAACCGGAGAAGAAGCCCCGCCUGACUUCAGUUGCCAGCCAGCCGCCGGGUAAUACGAAGGGGCGUAGCGUUGUUCGGAUUUACUGGGCGUAAAGCGCACGUAGGCGGACUUUUAAGUCAGGGGUGAAAUCCCGGGGC